This 440-nucleotide ribosomal RNA is filed under the name uncultured bacterium. RNAcentral describes it as "partial 16S ribosomal RNA". It matches the Rfam family "Bacterial small subunit ribosomal RNA", at positions 338 to 795 of the family's 1533-position model. The record is from RNAcentral.
CCUACGGGUGGCAGCAGUGGGGAAUAUUGCACAAUGGGGGAAACCCUGAUGCAGCGACGCCGCGUGAGUGAAGAAGUAUUUCGGUACGUAAAGCUCUAUCAGCAGGGAAGAAAAUGACGGUACCUGACUAAGAAGCCCCGGCUAACUACGUGCCAGCAGCCGCGGUAAUACGUAGGGGGCAAGCGUUAUCCGGAUUUACUGGGUGUAAAGGGAGCGUAGACGGCAGCGCAAGUCUGGAGUGAAAUCCCAUGGCUUAACCAUGGAACUGCUUUGGAAACUGUGCAGCUAGAGUGCAGGAGAGGUAAGCGGAAUUCCUAGUGUAGCGGUGAAAUGCGUAGAUAUUAGGAGGAACACCAGUGGCGAAGGCGGCCUGCUGGGCUUUUACUGACGCUGAGGCUCGAAAGUGUGGGGAGCAAACAGGAUUAGAUACCCUUGUAGUC